UACGUAGGGGGCAAGCGUUGUCCGGAAUUACUGGGCGUAAAGCGCACGUAGGCGGCUUUGUAAGUUAGAGGUGAAAGCCCAGGGCUCAACCCUGGAAUUGCCUUUAAGACUGCAUCGCUUGAACAUCGGAGAGGUAAGUGGAAUUCCGAGUGUAGAGGUGAAAUUCGUAGAUAUUCGGAGGAACACCAGUGGCGAAGGCGACUUACUGGACGAUUGUUGACGCUGAGGUGCGAAAGCGUGGGGAGCAAACAGG
Molecule: ribosomal RNA, 253 nt
Filed under: uncultured bacterium
Lineage: Bacteria
Description: partial 16S ribosomal RNA
Rfam family: Bacterial small subunit ribosomal RNA
Source: RNAcentral